This 327-nucleotide ribosomal RNA is filed under the name uncultured eukaryote. Its description in RNAcentral is "partial 18S ribosomal RNA". It matches the Rfam family "Eukaryotic small subunit ribosomal RNA", at positions 1470 to 1796 of the family's 1831-position model. The record is from RNAcentral.
CCCUUAGAUGUUCUGGGCCGCACGCGCGCUACACUGACGAAUGCAACGAGCUUAUAACCUUGGCCGAAAGGUCUGGGUAAUCUCCAAAUUUCGUCGUGAUGGGGAUAGAUUAUUGCAAUUAUUAAUCUUCAACGAGGAAUGCCUAGUAAGCGCAAGUCAUCAGCUUGCGUUGAUUACGUCCCUGCCCUUUGUACACACCGCCCGUCGCUACUACCGAUUGAAUGGUUUAGUGAGAACUCGGGACUGGCACUAAGGGGCUGGCAACAGCCUAUUAGAGCCGGGAACUUGCUCAAACUUGAUCAUUUAGAGGAAGUAAAAGUCGUANCA